Molecule: small nucleolar RNA, 132 nt
Organism: Arvicanthis niloticus (Nile rat)
Lineage: Eukaryota; Metazoa; Chordata; Mammalia; Rodentia; Muridae
Product: small nucleolar RNA SNORA17
Source: RefSeq, a predicted model, not a curated record
CCUGACUCUAGAGGCAUUGCAGGUGUGGCUGCUGUGUCACAUGUGUGUCAGUAGGUGGCAGAGAGUAGAGUGGCUAUGUCUACUCUCAGUGUUCUGACCUGCGAACAUCUGCAUGAUGAGUAGCCUAAGAGU